GAUUUUUGGUGUGUGAUAUGGUUGUUAAAGUCCCACAUCGACCAACCAAAACCUUGCGAUUCCGUGGGUCGGCCAUAAACAGUUCAACUCGUCAAUCAUUUGGUUCCUCGCCGUUGUAGAUGACUGCUCGGCCUCAAAUUAGCGACCAGGCAGUGAGCCCCUUAGAUCUUAUGGAGUCUAACCCAGAUCUAACAAGGAAGAUUAAUUGGUGGCUUAGAGGGAACACCUGAGGAGUCACCAGCAUGACCAGAUUUAACCACAUCAGAUGGUCCCCAGUUGAUUCAGUGAUCUAGUGCAGAUCUAAUACAUCAAAUUUAAUACUGAAGCUGCUUGGACAUGACUACGUCGGAGAUGGAGAUGAAACAAGUUGCAGUUGCAGUUGCAGUUGGCACUGGCAAUGUAAUUCCAGUAAGAAGAGGGGUUUAGGAACUCAUGAAUGCAUGCUCCAAAGUGCAAAUUUUAGAUCAAAGGUUCAACCACACUGGGAAGUAUUUGGAUUCAGGUGCCUUGAAGAUAUCUAAGAAUUCAUCACUGGCUGAAGGAAUCCAUGACAGUGAAACAGUUCAAGAAAGUUUUUGCUUGAACUGCAGAAAUUGCAUUCUGUAGUGUGCAAGACAAGUGCUCCUCUCUAAGACUGAAAGCUUCUUGCAUCGGCAAGUCAUUUGUGUAAAAGAUCAUCAAGUACUACUCAUCCAGAUUCUCUUGAAUAAAAUUCUAGUAAUAUUAGUGUCUGAAGCUGAACAACAAACUCCUUGUAAGCUUAUCACAAACUGGAUUAAGAAAUUGAGAAUUAGAUACUGAUGCAUGCCAAG
This is a long non-coding RNA of Musa acuminata AAA Group (dessert banana), 812 nucleotides long. RefSeq lists it as uncharacterized. The transcript is spliced from 3 exons. The record is from RefSeq and is a predicted model, not a curated record. NCBI's taxonomy places the organism in Eukaryota, Viridiplantae, Streptophyta, Magnoliopsida, Zingiberales, Musaceae.